UACGUAGGUGGCAAGCGUUGUCCGGAAUUAUUGGGCGUAAAGCGCGCGCAGGCGGUUUGUUAAGCCAGAUGUGAAAGCCCUGGGCUCAACCUAGGAACGGCAUCUGGAACUGGCAAGCUAGAGUACAGUAGAGGAAGGUGGAAUUCCACGUGUAGCGGUGAAAUGCGUAGAUAUGUGGAGGAACACCAGUGGCGAAGGCGGCCUUCUGGACUGAUACUGACGCUGAGGUGCGAAAGCGUGGGGAGCAAACAGG
This 253-nucleotide ribosomal RNA is filed under the name uncultured bacterium. RNAcentral's name for it is "partial 16S ribosomal RNA". It matches the Rfam family "Bacterial small subunit ribosomal RNA", at positions 524 to 776 of the family's 1533-position model. The record is from RNAcentral.